RNAcentral lists this ribosomal RNA (343 nucleotides) under uncultured bacterium. RNAcentral's name for it is "bacterial SSU rRNA". It matches the Rfam family "Bacterial small subunit ribosomal RNA", at positions 29 to 370 of the family's 1533-position model. The record is from RNAcentral.
ACAAACGCUGGCGGCGUGUCUUAAGCAUGCAAGUCGAGCGGCAAGGGCAGCAAUGCCCCCUAGAGCGGCGGACUGGUGAGUAACGCGUGGGUGAUCUACCUUGGGCAUGGGGAUAGCCAUUAGAAAUAGUGGGUAAUACCGAAUACGUUCCAUAUCGUGAGGGUAUGGAGGAAAGGCGCUACGGCGCCGGCCUGAAGAUGAGCUUGCGUCUGAUUAGCUAGUUGGUGAGGUAAAGGCCCACCAAGGCGAUGAUCGGUAGCCGGCCUGAGAGGGUGUACGGCCACACUGGGACUGAGAUACGGCCCAGACUCCUACGGGAGGCAGCAGCUAAGAAUAUUCCGCA